UAUUUUGUAGAUAUGAAUUACCUAAAGAGUAAUAUUAUUCAUUUGAUUGCAUGUAGAUGCACAUUACAGGAUUUAAAGCAAUUGAAAAGAUUUGUUAGAAUAUGCUGUUAAAAUAAUUUCGUUUUACCCUCUUCUUCUUUGUUUCCUAUUACCCUCUGCUGUGGUGUAGGGUGGCAAAUGUGUAGGCAAUCUAUGUAGACGUAAAGUGUAGGCAAUCAAAUGCUUCUAUUUACAUCGGUCUUGGGCACUCUGUUCUACCUCUUCCCAGGUUAUGUCCCAGACGCCCAGUUUCUGCUCUACUGAGCGACGCCACGUUUUUGGGACGGCCUCUCUUUCUUUUGCCAGACACAUUCUAGGUCAGUGCUCACUUGGAUAGGGUUGGAGUAUUGGGAUUUCUCUGUGUGACCAAUUCAAUACCACUUCCCCAUAAGGAUCUCUAAGUUAGUGAUAGUCUCAGGCCAAAAGAUUUUUAAAACUUGAUGUAGGUAUUUAUUCACAAACACUUGUUCGAACAAACCAAGUUUUGCUCUUGUACAGUGACAAACACCCACAUUUUAGUUGACGAUCUUCACCUUUUGUUCAUCUCAUUAAGGUUGAGGAACUCUACACUGGACUAAGUUGACUAAACGCGACUCCGGCUUUAUUUAUAUGACUAUAGCUUCUACCAUACACUAUAUAACAUUCCAUUACAUAAUAUUAAAUGCCUGAGAACCAAUGGCUUCUAAUUUGCAAUUGGCAAAAUUUUAAGCUCAGUACAUUACAUUAUGUGAAAGAAGGAUUUACAUCGUACAAUAAUCGUUUUUUUUUGUGGGUAGGUGUGAAAAAAGUGUAGACAUGUUUUAAACAUAAAAUUUUAUUGAAAAUUAGAAACAUAAUCUUUUAUCAAUAUUUUUUAACAUCCAGUUUGUACACAAGUAUAUUUGAUUUGGUAAUAACAUUUGCAGCAGCUUAUGUGUCAUAAAUAAAGCUGCAAACCACCAGCCAGCACACCUUCAACCAUUUAAGUGACAUCUUGUUCCUCUCACUCAAGCCCAUCAUGUCUCAACUUGCUGAAAUAUUAACUAUUCAAAAGAACCUAGAAGAAAACUUCACACGGAAGAUGGGUGAACUUGAAACACAGAUUCAAUCUGCGGGA
This is a long non-coding RNA of Bombyx mori (domestic silkworm), 1135 nucleotides long. RefSeq lists it as uncharacterized. NCBI's taxonomy places the organism in Eukaryota, Metazoa, Arthropoda, Insecta, Lepidoptera, Bombycidae. The transcript has 2 exons. The record is from RefSeq and is a predicted model, not a curated record.